Molecule: ribosomal RNA, 452 nt
Filed under: uncultured bacterium
Lineage: Bacteria
Description: bacterial SSU rRNA
Rfam family: Bacterial small subunit ribosomal RNA
Source: RNAcentral
CCUACGGGCUGCACCAGUAGGGAAUCUUCGGCAAUGGACGAAAGUCUGACCGAGCAACGCCGCGUGAGUGAAGAAGGUUUUCGGAUCGUAAAACUCUGUUGGUAGAGAAGAACAUUGGUGAGAGUGGAAAGCUCAUCAAGUGACGGUAACUACCCAGAAAGGGACGGCUAACUACGUGCCAGCAGCCGCGGUAAUACGUAGGUCCCGAGCGUUGUCCGGAUUUAUUGGGCGUAAAGCGAGCGCAGGUGGUUUAUUAAGUCUGGUGUAAAAGGCAGUGGCUCAACCAUUGUAUGCAUUGGAAACUGGUAGACUUGAGUGCAGGAGAGGAGAGUGGAAUUCCAUGUGUAGCGGUGAAAUGCGUAGAUAUAUGGAGGAACACCGGUGGCGAAAGCGGCUCUCUGGCCUGUAACUGACACUGAGGCUCGAAAGCGUGGGGAGCAAACAGGAUUAGA